AGCAUAGUCAAGCCAAUAUACUAAAAUGGAACAACACAGAAAAGAUUAGCAUGGCCCCUGAGCAAGGAUGACAUGAAAAUCUGUGAAGUGUUCCAUAUUCAA
Dipodomys ordii (Ord's kangaroo rat) is the source of this 102-nucleotide small nuclear RNA. Lineage: Eukaryota; Metazoa; Chordata; Mammalia; Rodentia; Heteromyidae. The record is from Ensembl.